This 515-nucleotide ribosomal RNA is filed under the name Raymunida dextralis. Its description in RNAcentral is "partial 16S ribosomal RNA". It matches the Rfam family "Bacterial large subunit ribosomal RNA", at positions 1831 to 2597 of the family's 2925-position model. Lineage: Eukaryota; Metazoa; Arthropoda; Malacostraca; Decapoda; Munididae. The record is from RNAcentral.
GUCUGUAUGAAGUUAUAUGAAGUCUGACCUGCCCAUUGAAUAAUUUAAAAGGCCGCAGUAUACUAACUGUGCAAAGGUAGCAUAAUCAUUAGUUUUUUAAUUGAAGGCUUGUAUGAACGGUUGGACAAAGGAUAAUCUGUUUUUAUUUUUGUUUUUGAAUUUAACUUUUAAGUGAAAAGGCUUAAAUAAAUUUAAGGGACGAUAAGACCCUAUAAAUCUUUACAUUGAAUUAUUUUUUUAUUAAUUUAUAAUGUAAAUAAGGAAUAAAUAAAUAAAAUUUGUUGUAUUGGGGUGAUAAGAAUAUAAAAAAUUAACUGUUCUAAAUUUAUAAUCAAAGCUGUUUGAAAAUAAUAGAUCCUUUUUAGAGAUUAAAAGUUUAAGUUACUUUAGGGAUAACAGCGUUAUUUUUUUUGAGAGUUCAUAUCGAAAAAAAAGUUUGCGACCUCGAUGUUGAAUUAAAAUUUCUUUAUGGUGUAGUAGUUAUAAGAGAAAGUCUGUUCGACUUUUAAAUUUUU